Molecule: long non-coding RNA, 2364 nt
Filed under: Zea mays
Lineage: Eukaryota; Viridiplantae; Streptophyta; Magnoliopsida; Poales; Poaceae
Description: long non-coding RNA (ZMAY_LNC001819)
Source: RNAcentral
AAAAGAGUACAGAUCGGAUAAAGUUUUAAUGUCCACAGUCCAUAUUACAAUAAUGGUCCAUAUUACAAUAACAGUCCAUAUGAACUAGAUAAAAGUAACACUAAUCUUGGCUGAAAUCAGCAAAAGCUUGUUCAAUCUCAGGAUCUUCAAGUUGAUGCUGCUUUCUAUCUUCUGCUCUUUUCCAGUCCUUAAGGCAGGUGAUGGCCUCCACUGUCUCAGGUGAAAGAGAGGACCUCCUUUCUUCAAUAAUUCUACCCACUGUGCUAAAUGUUGCUUCAGAGGAAACAGUUGAAACAGGAACAAGAAGAAUAUCUCUAGCAAAAUGAGAUAAUACUGGAAAACUGUACUUGUGUUCCCUCCACCAUUCAAGUAAUUUUACCUUAUCUCCCUUCAAGGUGCGAUCAGUGGCUGCAAAGUUAGUAGACAGAUAAUGAUUCAAUUCAGCAUUAGGAUUCCACCUUUGAUUUACUGUUGAGUUAGCAGAUUCUUUUCCCUUCGAUCUCUUCCAUAAGUGGGCUAUCAAAGAACUAUCUGAUUGUUCUAUGUCAGUUUCAUCCAUUGUUCCUGUAACAUCACUUUCACCAUAUUUGUUAUAGUAAAAGCCAAAAACACGAAAUAAUUCAUCUUUCACAUGAUUAAAAGCAUCUGAAUAGUCCAUAUCUAGCAAGUCACCAAUUCCUUCUAAAGCAGAUUGUAACCCAUCAAGUUUAUUUCUAGGAUCCAAAAUAGUUGCAAAGCAAUAUAUAUGGGAUAUGUUAUCAAAGUAUUUUAGAAAUUUUAGUUCCAUUGGAGCAACAACAGUGCAAAGAAGGGAAUCAGAUCUGUGCUUAGCAAAUGACUCAGCAAUUAACCAAAUGUAAUCAAUGACUAAGCAGGAUGUAGGAUAGUAAACACCUGAUAAAACAUUUGUGGCUACAUAAAAGGGCAUCAAGAACGCUCUAAAAUGUUUGACCAUAUACCAAUCAGCUUCAGUUAGAACCAAAUCAAUAUCAAGAGCAUUAGCAUUCACAAAGACAGUUAUAAUCUUUUCAUAACCUUCUAGUUUCUUAAGCAUAAGGUAGGUCAAAUUCCAUCUUAUCUUCAUAUCAAGGCCAAAUUUCCUUGAUUUCAUAUUAUUUGCCUUGCAAUACUCACUAAAUUUAUUAAUCAUUUGAGGAGUACUAGUUAUGAAACGAACAGCAUCACGAACAUUAUCCAAAUACUUACUAACAACUGUUAUGCCAUCCUGAACAACCAGAUUAAUAAUGUGGCACACACACCUUUGGUGGACGACAUAACCAUCUAUGUAUGACUUCAGAUGAGGGGCAAGAGAGUCUAUCGCAUUUGUAUUUGAGGAAGCAUUAUCAAGAGUAAUAGAUAGAAUUUUAUUCCUUAUAUUAAAAUCAUUAACCACCUCAAGAAUAUGAUUAGCAAUUGCAGUACCAGUAUGUGAAUCAUACAUCACUCUAAAACCUAUAACACGCUUAUGAAGACAAUAUGAAUUAUCCAAAUAGUGUGCAACAACAGAAAUGUAACUAGUCUUUUGAUGUGAUGAAGUCCAAAUAUCUGAAGUUAAAGCAAACGAAAACUGAACUUUUUUAAAAUUUUCUUUAAGAACAGCAAGUUGUUUGUGAUACUGAGACAUCAAAUCAGAUUUUAUAGUAGUUCUACUAACAGGUUGGUAUUGUGGGCAGAAAGCACGCUGAAUCAGAUUCUUAAAAUUAGGGCUUUCUCCCAUCAUAAUAGGUAAGUGUUCAGAAACAAUGUAUUUAAUAAUUUCUUCACGAGCUAGUUGAGGAUUGUAAACCCAAGUACUUACAGUGCCGUCUGCGGCGAAGUUUAGUUGAGUUUGCACACCUGUACCAAAAGUUUGCCCUGCCUUCUUCAUACAAGCUCUGAAGUGUCGAUUCAAAUGCCCAGUGCCACCAGCAGAAUCUGCACUCAACUCAGUUUUACAAUAGUGACAUACAGCAAUAUAACUUUUUAUACCAUUCUCAACAAUCUCUCGCUUAUCCAUAUGCUUCCAGCACUCUGCCCUUGAAACAAUUGGUUUAGCACCCUUUACUGGCACUGGCACAUCACCACCAAUAUCCCCAUCACCAUUAGAAACACCUCCAGUACCAUUUGAUGGUACUGGUAAGGAACCAUCUAUCCUACUACGACCAGGUAAGGGACAUGAACCAGGUAAGGAACUAGAACCAGGUAAGGGACAUGAACCAGGUAAGGGACUAGAACUAGGUAAGGGACUAGAAACACCUCCAGUACCAUCUGAUAGUUCGCUAGGAUUGCUGGAAUCAUCUAUCCUACUAGGACCAGAAGCUUUUCUAACAACUAACCUCUUCCUCCCCAUUGUAGAAGUGUAGAACCAGACAUAGAACCACAGGA